AUCACUUAUAUCAUAUACAAAAUGGGGGAUAACUCUCAUAUGGAGUCUCCGGAUAGCUUCGGUCAAAAUAAAACAGCACAUCCUGAGGAUAUAACGAGCAAUUUGGAAAAAUAAAUUUGUCGGUUUCUUAUACGGUUGCGAAUAUUAAGCGAUCACAAGAAAAACAGUGUUCGGGGAGAUAACUCUUACAUUGAAAAGAUUUUGGUUACGCGGUUUCAGUUACAAAAGCGUAAUAACUGUUCGAUAUCAUGUACCAUAUGUCUAAGCGACAUCUUGCGAAACAAAAAAACUGCGAAGGAAAAAAAAGUUGGCGGAAGAAAAAAAAUAAUAAUUCAAAAC
RNAcentral lists this long non-coding RNA (339 nucleotides) under Mytilus galloprovincialis (Mediterranean mussel). Lineage: Eukaryota; Metazoa; Mollusca; Bivalvia; Mytilida; Mytilidae. The record is from RNAcentral.